This 269-nucleotide ribosomal RNA is filed under the name uncultured prokaryote. RNAcentral describes it as "partial 16S ribosomal RNA". It matches the Rfam family "Bacterial small subunit ribosomal RNA", at positions 524 to 792 of the family's 1533-position model. The record is from RNAcentral.
UACGGAGGGUGCAAGCGUUAUCCGGAAUCACUGGGCGUAAAGGGCGCGUAGGCGGCCUGUUAAGUCCGAUGUUAAAGACUGGGGCUCAACCCCAGCAUUGCGUUGGAUACUGGCAGGCUUGACGGUUGGAGAGGCGAGUGGAAUUACCAGUGUAGCGGUGAAAUGCGUAGAUACUGGUAGGAACACCCAUUGCGAAGGCAGCUCGCUGGACAACACGUGACGCUGAGGCGCGAAAGUGUGGGGAGCAAACCGGAUUAGAUACCCCCGUA